This is a long non-coding RNA of Mus musculus (house mouse), 334 nucleotides long. RefSeq annotates it as predicted gene, 32874. The record is from RefSeq and is a predicted model, not a curated record. NCBI's taxonomy places the organism in Eukaryota, Metazoa, Chordata, Mammalia, Rodentia, Muridae. The transcript is spliced from 4 exons.
UCUAGGUCAGUGUCAAGUUGACAGCUGAAGCUAAUUAUGAUGUCAUCUUUGGGCUGUUUUGCAACUCUUUGUAAGCGAUGGUUCUAUGAACAUGCUAUUAAAAUCCUCCAGUGAUUUGUAAGGAAGAACUGAAGUUGAAUUUGAGAUGGAACAGAACCACGGACUCAAAGGGAAUGGCAACACAUUCUUGAUCUUGCUCUUCCUGGUAUCUCAUCAUCGUUGGUCGGUUCUUUUAACUUUGACUAAACCUGCCUGCAUGGUUGAGGUGGUUUGGAUGAGAUGUGCUUCUCAUGGGUUCAGCUGUCAGACACACCAGAAGAGGGCAUCAGAUCCC